Molecule: ribosomal RNA, 462 nt
Filed under: uncultured bacterium
Lineage: Bacteria
Description: partial 16S ribosomal RNA
Rfam family: Bacterial small subunit ribosomal RNA
Source: RNAcentral
GACGAACGCUGGCGGCGUGCUUAACACAUGCAAGUCGAACGGAAAGGCCCUUCGGGGUACUCGAGUGGCGAACGGGUGAGUAACACGUGGGUGAUCUGCCCUGCACUUUGGGAUAAGCCUGGGAAACUGGGUCUAAUACCGAAUAGGACCACGCGCUUCAUGGUGUGUGGUGGAAAGCUUUUGCGGUGUGGGAUGGGCCCGCGGCCUAUCAGCUUGUUGGUGGGGUAAUGGCCUACCAAGGCGACGACGGGUAGCCGGCCUGAGAGGGAGACCGGCCACACUGGGACUGAGAUACGGCCCAGACUCCUACGGGAGGCAGCAGUGGGGAAUAUUGCACAAUGGGCGCAAGCCUGAUGCAGCGACGCCGCGUGAGGGAUGACGGCCUUCGGGUUGUAAACCUCUUUCACCAGGGACGAAGCGUAAGUGACGGUACCUGGAGAAGAAGCACCGGCCAACUACGUG